AGUGAACGCUGGCGGUAGGCCUAACACAUGCAAGUCGAACGGCAGCACAGUAAGAGCUUGCUCUUACGGGUGGCGAGUGGCGGACGGGUGAGGAAUACAUCGGAAUCUACUUUUUCGUGGGGGAUAACGUAGGGAAACUUACGCUAAUACCGCAUACGACCUACGGGUGAAAGCAGGGGAUCUUCGGACCUUGCGCGAUUGAAUGAGCCGAUGUCGGAUUAGCUAGUUGGCGGGGUAGAGGCCCACCAAGGCGACGAUCCGUAGCUGGUCUGAGAGGAUGAUCAGCCACACUGGAACUGAGACACGGUCCAGACUCCUACGGGAGGUAGCAGUGGGGAAUAUUGGACAAUGGGCGCAAGCCUGAUCCAGCCAUACCGCGUGGGUGAAGAAGGCCUUCGGGUUGUAAAGCCCUUUUGUUGGGAAAGAAAAGCAGCAGGUUAAUACCCCGCUGUUCUGACGGUACCCAAAGAAUAAGCACCGGCUAACUUCGUG
RNAcentral lists this ribosomal RNA (492 nucleotides) under uncultured bacterium. Its description in RNAcentral is "partial 16S ribosomal RNA". It matches the Rfam family "Bacterial small subunit ribosomal RNA", at positions 29 to 507 of the family's 1533-position model. The record is from RNAcentral.